AUGGUCUCCAACAAUGCCCCCGGGAUAGGCCAUAGUAGUAGCGAGGGGUAUAAAACCGGCGCUACUACUAAGCUGCCUGGUGACUAUGGGUCUGAUCCCCUGGGGCUCGGGAAGCAGCCCAAGGACCUGAAGUGGUACGUCCAGGCCGAGCUCGUGCACUGCCGGUUUGCCAUGGCAGGGCUUCUCUUGAUGGGGUUUGUCGAAACCAAGAGUUAUUCAACAUGCUUCAAACUUUUUCUGUUCGAUUUGGUGCAGGAGGAUGCCCGAGCUGACCAGGAGGACACCCUUCUGCACCUCAGCCACCACACAAGUCCAUUGGCUCCUACUGCAAACAGGUCUAUAACAGGUUAA
This 351-nucleotide ribosomal RNA is filed under the name Triticum aestivum (bread wheat). Its description in RNAcentral is "partial small subunit ribosomal RNA". The record is from RNAcentral. Lineage: Eukaryota; Viridiplantae; Streptophyta; Magnoliopsida; Poales; Poaceae.